This is a non-coding RNA of Chloroflexi bacterium OLB15, 73 nucleotides long. Lineage: Bacteria; Bacillati; Chloroflexota. The record is from Rfam.
GGGGUCGUGGUGUAGUGGUUAACAUACUGCCCUGUCAAGGCAGAGAUCGCGGGUUCGAGACCCGUCGACCCCG